GGAGAGUAGCUAUUAUAUGGCACAUCGAUUGUAAAGCAGUCUUUGAUUUUGUAUCAUUGGUAAUGAUGGAAGGUGAUGUCUGCCUCGAUGUUUCCUUUGACAGAACUGAUUCUCAUCCCGCACUGUUCACUGAGAUUUUCGGAAUCACUGCACAAUUGCAUAUGUUAAAUUGCAUAUCUUAAUGCUCAAACCAACCACUUCUGUAGGGUCAGCCCUGCUGUGGCACUUUAGAUCCAAGUACUUCAUGUCAAAUUGAAAAGUCAAUCUGAAGUGACUUGAGGGCAAUCUGAUUAACCUUUUCAUUACUGGAAGCAUACAAAAUCUGCAGCCUGGGCAAUUAACAUGGCCUGAAAAUUCGAGUGCUUUACACUGGGAAUGGGUUUGGUAUAAUGCAACAAUCAGAAGACCCAAGAACUGGAAGAGCAAGCGAGGCAUCCAACACAAAAGAGGAGGAGGUAGCCAGAUUCAAAACUACAAUUGAGGAUACUGAAUUUAAGGCCAAUCCUCUUGCUGUCAUUGGUGAGCAUCUUCUGAAACGAAUGAGGCAGGAGGAUGAGGAUCUGAAGUGAAACCUGAAACUGUGCUCCAAGCCAAUCUGGAAAAUACCAUCAAUGUCACCAGUGAACAUUUGAAUAAUCAGCAAAUACUGGACCAGUGCAAAUAUUUGCCAGAUUUAUGCUGAAAAUGCUGACUGUCCAUGUUUACAGGUGAUAUACCUUAGGGAAAAACUGAACUUUCUUGCACUGUCCAGCCAGUGGAAACCUAAGAUCAGGCAGGAUCGGCCAUUGGAUGUAAAGGCAUUGAGAAUAAGCAAGUAGGAGAAAACUUAAUGUCUUGUCAAGAAUUAUCUUAAUUAUCUCAAGAAACAUAUUAUAAAAUAUUUUUGUUUGAAAAUAAUAAAGUUUGGUUGUUCUAAUUUAA
This is an RNA transcript of Rhincodon typus (whale shark), 921 nucleotides long. It is a transcript of the gene named SLX9 ribosome biogenesis factor, with no coding region annotated. The record is from RefSeq and is a predicted model, not a curated record. Lineage: Eukaryota; Metazoa; Chordata; Chondrichthyes; Orectolobiformes; Rhincodontidae. The transcript is spliced from 2 exons.